UACGAAGGGGGCUAGCGUUGCUCGGAAUUACUGGGCGUAAAGCGUGCGCAGGCGGUUUUGUAAGACAGGCGUGAAAUCCCCGGGCUCAACCUGGGAAUUGCGCUUGUGACUGCAAGGCUGGAGUGCGGCAGAGGGGGAUGGAAUUCCGCGUGUAGCAGUGAAAUGCGUAGAUAUGCGGAGGAACACCGAUGGCGAAGGCAAUCCCCUGGGCCUGCACUGACGCUCAUGCACGAAAGCGUGGGGAGCAAACAGG
This 253-nucleotide ribosomal RNA is filed under the name uncultured bacterium. Its description in RNAcentral is "partial 16S ribosomal RNA". It matches the Rfam family "Bacterial small subunit ribosomal RNA", at positions 524 to 776 of the family's 1533-position model. The record is from RNAcentral.